GCAGCCCUUUUCAAACCGGGAAGCUCCAGGUCAGUUUCCCUUUCCAAGUUUUACGGCCUGCCAUGUUGUCCAUUCUGCUCAGCUAUUUAAAAAAUGUUGAAUAUCAACAAUGGCUUUCACUGGUGUAUUGUCAACUUUUGUAUGAAGCAAUCUUGGCUGAAUGAGAUGGGUCCCAGAGCAGGGAGGGCUUGGCUGCGGCAUGCACCGCAACACCACUGGCGCCUGCCUGUCUCUCUCUCUCUCUCUCUCUCUGCUGCAGGCAGGAUCAGGGAGGCAGGAGCAGCCGUCCCUCUAGUCCCUGUCUCAGCCCAGCCGCUGGGGUCUGCGUGGAGCUGGGAAAGCCACCCCCUCGUCAGUCCUCUCUGCGAACCCAUCCUCAUCCCAGGUUCCCCUCCCCCUGCCUCUGGCCCUGUCGUCUGGGAGCCCCUGAAGGUGUGACACCUCACACAGGGAUCGGCGAGCAGGAGCCCCGGGGGCCAGUCAGAGCUGGGUAGCCGUGCCAACCCCAUUGGAGAUGUAUGUUUGAAGAUAAUCGUAGGAAAUCCUCCACCCAACCCAGAGAAACCCUUUCCUGGUCAGCAGCAACCCUGGAGUACCCUACUACCUGACAGGGCCAGCUGGUCCCAGGGGAGCAGUUCCCCUUCCAGGAGCGACAGCAGCAGCUCUCCCACCCUCCUCACCUCAACACAGAAUCACGGGGCUGGAAGAACAAGUUCAAUCACCAUCAAGAUCACAAUCACCAUUGACUACAGGUCAUUCUUGAAUUGAGGAGGCAUUUAAUCUUUCUAGAAUAAAACAUAUAUAUAUAUUUGGUUACUUCUUCCCAUUCCAAAUGAACUAAUGACAGCUUAAUUACUUUAAAUAGUCUUUAUCAUUAUGAUAAUAUCAGUGCCACCAGUAGGUGUAGUAACACCAAUGACAGUAACACCAAUGAUAAAUUGGUAAUUGAGGAUUUUCUUAAAUGGAGGCCAAAUAUGCUCAAAUCUAAGGUCAUUAACCCUUUAAAGGUAAUUUACAAAAGUUGUGAUUAAUCAUUUUGCUCACAAUUUAAUUUCCCUUCAUUUAAAUUGGGUUACACCAAUUACACUUUUUACCUAGAGACAGCAAAUUAUCAAUGGACUCCUCAAAUGUAUGACAUACAUACAUGUAAAAAGCGAAUAAUUUUCUUUAAAGACCCGAUAACAGUUCGCCACUGCAGGGAAUGCUCAAGGUCCUUGUAUAUAUUUAUAAUGACUGAUUUUCAAGGUGGUAACACCAAUGACAUAAAACGUAGUGAUACAGAACAUAUUAUAUUUGUAAAAAAUGUUUAAAAAAAAGGUAUUUUAAUAGCCUUUGUUUUUAUUGAUCUAUACAAUAUAUUAAUAUAUACUCUGUUUACUUUCUAGCAAUACAAAUAAUAGAUAGCUAACUUUAAAUCUCCAAAACAUGUCAUUACAACUCAUCAAGUACUUUAAACAAUGCAUACACAUACAGUUUUGCAUUAAGAAGGACUUGAUAAACAGUUCAGUAUAAACUAAACGACAACUAUUUGUCAUUUUAAAGUGUUUUUCAUGGUCUCAAUGGUGAGGGACACAAAUGUAAGUAAAGAAUGACCCCUACAGCACAAGGAUGGGAUAGGGUUACAGGUAUUUGUCUGCUGGUAUGACUUGUAACUUAUGUGUUCAUGUGUACACACACAUACACACACUCACUAUAGUACUGUUGUGGUUGAUGACAAUAAAUUCAUCAGGAGUGUUUUUGUUCUUGUUUCAGAUCAAAUAUCUCUGGUUCCCACCAAUGAGAAACUCAAAAAGAUGAGACAAUGAACGUAAUGCAUUUUGUUAUUGUUGUUGUGAGAAACCCCAACUCAUCUCCUCCUCUAAAGGGGAAGUCUCACUCUUGUGCCACUGGUGUCGAUUUCCCCUCACAGAGACGAGAGACGGACAUGGCAUCACUCAGUUCCCCCUCGGGCUGGACAACAGGUCUUAUGUAAAGGAGCAGAGUGGUAGUUUUUCUGAGUGUGUGUGUGUGUGUGUUCACAUGUGUGUGUGUCUGCAUACAUGGUGGGGUAAGAGGUUUGUAAGCUGAUCAGGCUGUGUAAUGAUGUGCUGUGAUCAUCAACUGUGUCUCAUUUCAGAGAGAGAGAGAACUCCUGUCUUACUUCUCUGUAGGAAAUAUUUCACAUAUGAAUCACCUACCGCUCCCACAUGUAUUAUCCACAUCAGGAUAGAUGGAAUAAUUAAUUACAUUCUAAAGCCAUUAAACAUAGACAGAACAGUUAUGCAUUUUAAUGAUCAUCAUCCUUUAAAACAAAAUUCACAUUUUAAUUGAUUUUGUUUCCAUUACUUAAGUGUAGGAAUAGUUUUCUUUUAAAAAUACUUCCAAUUUUUGAACAUUUCUGUCACAUAAGACGUAUGAUGUGUAUUGAAACCCCACUCCCAUAACUCAUUGGGGUGACAGUGCCAAACAGAGCCGAAGACACCACGGCUUGAUAAGCAGGAUAUACGGUUACACCUGCCGAUAUGUAGAUAAGAUUACAUUUAAGACAGAGGGAUGAGUGGUGGAGGUGUAGGAGGUGGGUAAGAAUGGGGGGAUGUGGCCACUCAGUGAUGCAUGAAGAACAACAUCCAGGCUAGGGUAAGGUUGGGGUUGGGGCCGGGGCUGGGCGGAUGGCCAAGGGGUCGCGGGGUUGUGUUUACCUGUGGUAGGUAUUUCCUCUGGGAGCUGAUAAGACCGACGGAGGGGAAGUUCUGCGUUCCAGGUGAGUGCAGAGGGUCCUGCAAAACGACACCAAACACCAUCGACCCCCAACCCAUACCUAUACCUACCUCUCAGACUCCACCCCUACACACACCCACACACAGAUCCCGCCACUCCUCGACAUUCUGACACACACCUCACGCUCUGGCACGUUCGCUCACUCACCAAGACACAUUAAACACACAUGCCGGGCAUGGUUUCUCGCAGUCAUUCACACCCUCACGGACACAUAGGCCACUCAUGUUUAGUCAGCCAUGUUAUACUCUUGUCAUACUGUAGCAAUGGUAAAAAGGCAAUGUAAUGGGAUUGCAUCUUUAUAAGAUAUCCCAUACAAUUCACAGUAUCGCAUAAUAAAGGUAGGAUAGCUUAUAGAUCAAAUCUACCGUUGCUACAUUCAUUUUGGACUCAUAAAGGAAUUAUAUACUGUAUACCCAUUGAUUCUUGAAGAAUAUAACUUAUUAAGGCCCAAUGAGCUAGUUCAUCUGUUGUACCCCAUCAGAACCCAAAAUAGAAGCUUGUUUUACUCCAAUGUUUGUAAACAAAGAAAAUGUAAACAAACACUGUAUGGUCUUAAAACAUGGUUAAAACUAUAAUUUUGAUACCACAGAUGGU
This is a non-coding RNA of Oncorhynchus mykiss (rainbow trout), 3351 nucleotides long. NCBI's taxonomy places the organism in Eukaryota, Metazoa, Chordata, Actinopteri, Salmoniformes, Salmonidae. The record is from RefSeq and is a predicted model, not a curated record.